GUGCAUCGAACUGCUGACCCUCCAUCCYCUUCAAUCUUUCCCCAAGUGAACAUUUYACUUGUGGGCUUGUGAGGUAUCCUGUGUUGCUUACCAUUGGAWUGGAAUUUGUCGGCUUUGUUACUCGCAUCUGCCAUGUGCCCAUAUGGGUGUGAGGUAGACGUGUGGUGAGCCCYGUGUUCCUAGCUUGCCAAUUGCUUCGRCAUUUGCUUGCUGUGGCCCAUGGGGUCUUUGCUUGUUCUCUAGGAUGCGGAAUGUUGUGUGGGCGUGAGGUCUGGACCUUCACUCGUCCAAACACAAAUUUUUAACUCGAAUGAUGUGCUUCUCUUGAUCUUCCCGACCGAGGCCCCAAAAUGGGGCUUACCGGACGAGGGUUGAACAAGCGGGUGUUAGCGUCAAWGAGUUUUAAAUCGAAUGACUGUCGCGCUUGUAAUGAUCUUCCCGACCGAGGCCCCGUAGCAGGGCUUACCGGAUGAGGGUUGAACAUGYGGGCGCUGGCGUCAAAGAGGAUAGC
RNAcentral lists this unclassified non-coding RNA (511 nucleotides) under Boronia serrulata. RNAcentral describes it as "partial external transcribed spacer". Lineage: Eukaryota; Viridiplantae; Streptophyta; Magnoliopsida; Sapindales; Rutaceae. The record is from RNAcentral.